Molecule: ribosomal RNA, 403 nt
Filed under: uncultured Eubacteriaceae bacterium
Lineage: Bacteria; Bacillati; Bacillota; Clostridia; Eubacteriales; Eubacteriaceae
Also listed under: 1 other name
Description: partial 16S ribosomal RNA
Rfam family: Bacterial small subunit ribosomal RNA
Source: RNAcentral
UGGGGAAUAUUGCGCAAUGGGGGAAACCCUGACGCAGCAAUACCGCGUGAGUGAAGAAGGUUUUCGGAUCGUAAAGCUCUGUUAUUGGGGAAGAAGAAUGACGGUACCCAAUGAGGAAGUCCCGGCUAACUACGUGCCAGCAGCCGCGGUAAUACGUAGGGGACAAGCGUUGUCCGGAAUGACUGGGCGUAAAGGGCGCGUAGGCGGUCUAAUAAGUCUGAUGUGAAAGGUAACGGCUCAACCGUUAACGUGCAUUGGAAACUGUUAGACUUGAGUAUUGGAGAGGCAAGUGGAAUUCCUAGUGUAGCGGUGAAAUGCGUAGAUAUUAGGAGGAACACCAGUGGCGAAGGCGGCUUGCUGGACAAAUACUGACGCUGAGGUGCGAAAGCGUGGGGAGCAAACA